RNAcentral lists this ribosomal RNA (724 nucleotides) under uncultured bacterium. RNAcentral's name for it is "bacterial SSU rRNA". It matches the Rfam family "Bacterial small subunit ribosomal RNA", at positions 88 to 848 of the family's 1533-position model. The record is from RNAcentral.
GGGGUGAGCGGCGGACGGGUUAGUAACGCGUGGGAAUAUGCCCGACACUAAGGAAUAGCCUCUGGAAACGGAGAGUAAUACCUUAUACGCCCUUCGGGGGAAAGAUUUAUCGGUGACGGAUUAGCCCGCGUUAGAUUAGAUAGUUGGUGGGGUAAUGGCCUACCAAGUCUACGAUCUAUAGCUGGUUUUAGAGGAUGAUCAGCAACACUGGGACUGAGACACGGCCCAGACUCCUACGGGAGGCAGCAGUGGGGAAUCUUGGACAAUGGGCGCAAGCCUGAUCCAGCCAUGCCGCGUGAGUGAUGAAGGCCUUAGGGUCGUAAAGCUCUUUCGCCAGAGAUGAUAAUGACAGUAUCUGGUAAAGAAACCCCGGCUAACUCCGUGCCAGCAGCCGCGGUAAUACGGAGGGGGUUAGCGUUGUUCGGAAUUACUGGGCGUAAAGCGCGCGUAGGCGGAUUAGUCAGUUAGAGGUGAAAUCCCGGGGCUCAACCCCGGAACUGCCUUUAAUACUGCUAGUCUUGAGUUCGAGAGAGGUGAGUGGAAUUCCGAGUGUAGAGGUGAAAUUCGUAGAUAUUCGGAGGAACACCAGUGGCGAAGGCGGCUCACUGGCUCGAUACUGACGCUGAGGUGCGAAAGUGUGGGGAGCAAACAGGAUUAGAUACCCUGGUAGUCCACACCGUAAACGAUGAAUGCCAGUCGUCGGGUAGCAUGCUAUUCGGUGACA